RNAcentral lists this ribosomal RNA (253 nucleotides) under uncultured bacterium. RNAcentral describes it as "partial 16S ribosomal RNA". It matches the Rfam family "Bacterial small subunit ribosomal RNA", at positions 524 to 776 of the family's 1533-position model. The record is from RNAcentral.
GACAGAGGUGCCAAGCGUUAGGCGGAAUCACUGGGCUUAAAGCGUGUGUAGGCGGAUCGUUAAGUACCUUGUGAAAUCCCACGGCUCACCCGUGGAACUGCUGGGUAUACUGGCGGUCUUGGGCCAACUAGGGGCAGCUGGAACAAGCGGUGGAGCGGUGAAAUGCGUAGAUAUCGCUUGGAACGCCGAAGGUGAAAACAGGCUGCUGGGGUUGUGCCGACGCUGAGACACGAAAGCCAGGGGAGCAAACGGG